Molecule: ribosomal RNA, 396 nt
Filed under: uncultured bacterium
Lineage: Bacteria
Description: bacterial SSU rRNA
Rfam family: Bacterial small subunit ribosomal RNA
Source: RNAcentral
AGUGAACGCUGGCGGCAGGCCUAACACAUGCAAGUCGAACGGCAGCACGGCAGUAGCAAUACUGUGGGUGGCGAGUGGCGGACGGGUGAGGAAUACAUCGGGAUCUACCCUGUUGUGGGGGAUAACGUAGGGAAACUUACGCUAAUACCGCAUAAGAACUGAGGUUGAAAGCGGCGGACCGCAAGGCGUCGCGCGAUUGGAUGAACCGAUGUCCGAUUAGCUAGUUGGCGGGGUAAAGGCCCACCAAGGCGACGAUCGGUAGCUGGUCUGAGGGGACGACCAGCCACACUGGAACUGAGACACGGUCCAGACUCCUACGGGAGGCAGCAGUGGGGAAUAUUGGACAAUGGGCGCAAGCCUGAUCCAGCCAUGCCGCGUGGGUGAAGAAGGCCUCGG